Molecule: ribosomal RNA, 253 nt
Filed under: uncultured Leptolinea sp.
Lineage: Bacteria; Bacillati; Chloroflexota; Anaerolineae; Anaerolineales; Anaerolineaceae
Description: partial 16S ribosomal RNA
Rfam family: Bacterial small subunit ribosomal RNA
Source: RNAcentral
UGUCGACACGGGACGUGCCGGUCCGUUUAAGGCCGGAGGAAGGUGGGGAGUGAUGUCAAGUCAGCAUGGCCUUUAUAUCCUGGGCUACACACACGCUACAAUGGCCAACACAAUAGGUUGCUAAGCCGCGAGGUGGCGCCAAUCCAUAAAGUUGGUCUCAGUUCAGAUUGUAGGCUGCAACCCGCCUGCAUGAAGAUGGAGUUGCUAGUAACCGCAGGUCAGCUAUACUGCGGUGAAUACGUUCCCGGGGCUU